RNAcentral lists this transfer RNA (102 nucleotides) under Variovorax sp. SG517. RNAcentral's name for it is "tRNA-Ser". The record is from RNAcentral. Lineage: Bacteria; Pseudomonadati; Pseudomonadota; Betaproteobacteria; Burkholderiales; Comamonadaceae.
GGGUCUGUCACUGGCGCGCGUUUCCAAUCGUCGACUGGGCCGCUGGAUUGAAACACCGCGGUCGCCGUAUUGAUGCGGGUUCGAAUCCCGCCGUGUCCACCA